Molecule: ribosomal RNA, 339 nt
Filed under: uncultured Pseudomonadota bacterium
Lineage: Bacteria; Pseudomonadati; Pseudomonadota
Description: bacterial SSU rRNA
Rfam family: Bacterial small subunit ribosomal RNA
Source: RNAcentral
AACAAACGCUGGCGGCGUGCCUAACACAUGCAAGUCGUACGAGAAAGUUCACUUCGGUGGAUGAGUAAAGUGGCGCACGGGUGAGUAACGCGUGGAUAAUCUACCCUUUAGCCGGGAAUAACCCAUCGAAAGGUGGGCUAAUACCGGAUAAUACUGUGAAACUGCGGUGGAACAGUCAAAGAGAGCCUCUGUUUACAAGCCCUCACUAAAGGAUGAGUCCGCGUACCAUUAGCUAGUUGGUAGGGUAAUGGCCUACCAAGGCGACGAUGGUUAGCUGGUCUGAGAGGAUGAUCAGCCACACUGGAACUGAGACACGGUCUAGACUCCUACGGGAGGCUG